UACGGAGGGUGCAAGCGUUAUCCGGAUUCACUGGGUUUAAAGGGUGCGUAGGUGGGCAGGUAAGUCAGUGGUGAAAUCUCCGGGCUUAACCCGGAACUGCCGUUGAUACUAUCUGUCUUGAAUAUCGUGGAGGUGAGCGGAAUAUGUCAUGUAGCGGUGAAAUGCUUAGAUAUGACAUAGAACACCAAUUGCGAAGGCAGCUCGCUACACGGUUAUUGACACUGAGGCACGAAAGCGUGGGGAGCAAACAGG
This 252-nucleotide ribosomal RNA is filed under the name uncultured bacterium. RNAcentral's name for it is "partial 16S ribosomal RNA". It matches the Rfam family "Bacterial small subunit ribosomal RNA", at positions 524 to 776 of the family's 1533-position model. The record is from RNAcentral.